Molecule: ribosomal RNA, 496 nt
Filed under: uncultured bacterium
Lineage: Bacteria
Description: partial 16S ribosomal RNA
Rfam family: Bacterial small subunit ribosomal RNA
Source: RNAcentral
GAUGAACGCUGGCGGCGUGCCUAAUACAUGCAAGUCGAGCGAACGGACGAGAAGCUUGCUUCUCUGAUGUUAGCGGCGGACGGGUGAGUAACACGUGGAUAACCUACCUAUAAGACUGGGAUAACUUCGGGAAACCGGAGCUAAUACCGGAUAAUAUUUUGAACCGCAUGGUUCAAAAGUGAAAGACGGUCUUGCUGUCGCUUAUAGAUGGAUCCGCGCUGCAUUAGCUAGUUGGUAAGGUAACGGCUUACCAAGGCAACGAUGCAUAGCCGACCUGAGAGGGUAAUGGCCCACACGGAAACUAGACCACGGCCCGAAUCCCUAGGGAGGGAGGCGUAGGGAAAUCUUCCGAAUGGGGCGAAGCCUGACGGAGGCAACGCGGGGGAGGGAUGAAGGGUCUUCGAUUGGAAAAACCCUGUUAUUGGGAAAAAAAAAUUGUGAAGUAACUGUGCACAUCUUGACGGUACCUAAUCAGAAAGCCACGGCUAACUACGUG